RNAcentral lists this long non-coding RNA (370 nucleotides) under Nicotiana benthamiana. RNAcentral describes it as "long non-coding RNA (NBEN_LNC006913)". Lineage: Eukaryota; Viridiplantae; Streptophyta; Magnoliopsida; Solanales; Solanaceae. The record is from RNAcentral.
GGGGAUCAACAUCUUAUCAAUGAAGUGGUUAGUUUGGAAUAUAAGGGGUGUAAAUAAAAGGUACGAGCAGAAAGAAGUUAGGGGAUCAAUAUCUCUUCAAUAAAGUGGUUAGUUUGGAAUAUAAGGGGUGUAAAUAAAAGGUACAAGCAGAAAGAAGUUACGGAGUAUAUUAGAAAAAACAACAUUAACCUAGUUGGAUUAGUAGAAACUAAGGUAAAACAAAUACAUGCUAGUAGAGGUGUAAAUAAAAGGUACAAGCAGAAAGAAGUUAGGGAGUAUAUUAGGAAAAGCAACAUUAACCUAGUUGGAUUAGUAGAAACUAAGGUAAAGCAAAUACAUGCUAGUAGAAUUGCUAAUCUACUAGCACCAG